GACGAACUGUAGCCUAGCAUGUAGCGUUGUUUUUACUCAAACCCAUUAUUUUGCAUUGUUAUUGUUAGUGUAAUCUAUACGUGAAGCCAUUAAUGGCAGAAACCCUAAACCUCUGAUUCUCCCCUUCUUCGUCUUCUUAUUUUGUUUAAUAUCAUAAAAUUCACAAUUAUUCUCCAAUUAAAGAUGUUAGGAGCCAAAUUCUCUUGUUCUUCUCAUACUUUAUCACGUACCCAAAUCGAAUUCCCUUCAAUUCCCGUUCACAUAAACAACAAUCAAUCUUCUACUACUCUCAAUUUUUCUAUUAACCGUGUAAAACGCAAUCAUUCUCUUAUAUCAUAUUGUCUUCCUAAUUAUAAUUCUGCAAUUUUAGCUGAAAAUCAUCGUCAUGAAACUGACGCAGAAGUCGACACUUCUUCUUCCCUUCCUAGACCAUUAUCUUCCAUUAAUUAUGCUUCAAACUCUGAUGGGUCUCGCCUUCGUGUUGCCUAUCAGGGUGUUAGUGGUGCAUAUAGUGAGCUGGCAGCUGAGACUGCCUAUCCAAAUUGUGAAGCAGUGCCUUGUGAGCAAUUCGACACAGCUUUUGAAGCGCUUGAGCGUUGGCUUGUUGAUCGAGCAGUUUUACCAAUUGAGAAUUCCCUGGGAGGGAGCAUCCACAGAAAUUAUGACCUUCUGAUGAGGCAUAGGUUGCAUAUAGUCGGUGAAGUGAAGCUUCCGAUUCAGCAUUGUUUGUCAGCGAAUCCUGGUGUUAAGCUUGAAGAUUUGAAAAGGGUGUUAAGCCAUCCUCAGGCUCUUGCUCAGUGCGAGCACACAUUAGCUAAAUUUGGAGUAAGUAGAGAAGCUGUGGAUGAUACAGCUGGUGCAGCAAAGUUUGUUGCAUACAACAAACUCAAAGAUGCAGGAGCAGUUGCAAGUGCUGCUGCAGCAAGGAUCUAUGGUUUAAAUAUACUGGCUGAAGAUAUACAGGAUGAUUCUGAUAAUGUGACUAGAUUUCUAAUGCUAGCUAGGGAACCCAUUAUUCCAGGAAGCGAUAGACCCUUUAAGACUAGCAUUGUUUUCUCACUCGUAGAGGGUCCUGGUUCGCUUUUCAAGGCUCUAGCGGUUUUUGCUUUGAGGCAAAUAAAUUUAGCAAAGAUUGAAAGUCGGCCUCUACGGAACAGCGACAGUCAAAAUGGUUCUUCAAAGUGUUUCGACUAUCUCUUUUACUUGGAUUUUGAAGCGUCUAUGGCUGAUCCCAACGCACAAAAUGCCCUUCGACAUCUUGAGGAGUUUGCUACUCUUCUGCGGGUGUUGGGAAGUUUUCCAGCUGACACAAAGAGGUGAUCUAUGAGACUUGUGAGACGGGGCUUCAUCGUUUGGGUGAACAUCGAUAUUUGAAGGAUGAGGAAAAUGUUUGUUACACAGAAGGAAAUUGUGAAACGGGAGGUUAUUGGCAAGACAAGGGAAGCACUGCGGUGGAUUUAAUUCUUUGGUAAGCAAAGCAGCUGGGUGUAUACACACGACAUUGGUUGUUUUGAGUGAACAGGGGUAUUUGGAAUAUAACGUUAGACACUAGACAAUCUUGACUUAUUAUGGAGUUUAUCAAUGAGGCGGUUAUGCCUUGUUUGUACAAUUUUUUCCCAUUAAAUCUCAGUGUAGAAAGAUUUAAUAUGCUGGAUCUUCCAGUUUGAUGUUGAUGUUAUUUAUUUGUUUGGGUUGAAUUAGUUGGAAAAUGCAGGGUUAUAUAGUGGCAUGUGUUCCAUGUUUUCUGUCACUGUAGACUCUCUAUAACUGUACAGUGUGGACUGUGGAGUAGUGUAGUUGUACUCAUUAAUUUGAUUGCUACUUGUAAUAUUGAGUUUUGAUUACAUGUUAAUUGCUGUAUUAGUGAUUACGUUGUGAAAUGAAAGCCUUAAAGAGGUUUAACAAUGAGAAACAAAAUGAAAAAUAAAACAAAAGAUGAACACAAGUGUUUAUGAGGUAUCUUGAAUACCUACCCCUCAAAUGUAGUUUUAUUAUAAAUGAUUCAACAAUACAAUUAUAAUAAACCUCCCUUAUCUUGAGAACAAACCUCUCAAAUAUUAGAUUUUUGAAGUCUAGAUUUUUCAAAUUAGGAGGGAGUAUUAGAAAGGCUAAUCAGAAAAAUCUAGAAGAUGAUUAUCUACAACUAUCUAGUGUUAAGUAAGAAGUAAUUGUUAGAAUAUACUAGAGGUGUGAAGUAAGAAAAAAAAUAUCUAGAUAAAAUCCUAGCUUAACUACUAGAAUGUUCCAUAGCAAGUAUAAAUAGAGUAUUAUGACACUUACAUUAUAUAGAACAAGAAGCUCCCAUAAAAACAAAGGAUUAAGCCAUGAGCUCAAAUCAUAAAAUAUAUACAAAAAAUAGAGAUAUUGAUAAGUGAGACAUGAGCUCACAUAAAAAUAGUAGUGAAGAAUGUAUAGGUGCGGAACAAGUGUCCCACCAAAAAUAUUCUUGUACAAUUUAUAAUAUAAUUAAAUAUUUGCAUUCAGUAAAUGUAAUAUAAUAUUUAUUUGGGUCUAACUACAGAAUUCCGCGUGCGCCCAAAAACUACUAUCAUCAAGAUCACAAAAUACUAGAGCAAAGUAAGAACACUCUCAAGUUUCUAACAAUGCACUAGACUACUCUCAAUAUGUGUGUUUGUGGUGAAUUGUGUUCUAUGAAUGAGUAUCCUAUUUAUAGUGAGGAAUACUACAUUCUAGAACCCCCUUUUAAUUCACCAUAUUCACCAUAAACUCACAUGUAACACCCCAAUUAACUAUGAUAAUUAACCAUAGUAAUAAACAUCACAAUAAACAUUACAUUAAACAAGGAAGUAAUGCACUUGUUCAAUGACUACACUAAGAAUUCUGACCGAAACAGAAUCCAACGAAGCCUGCUCGACUGUCCCUCGAUUGAGCCACUACCUCGCUCGGUCGAGCGAGCCUCCUGUGAGGCUACUGACUUGUAGCACUGCUAUCCGCUCGACCAGUCGAGCGGUGCUUCUGACUUCUUCUUUCUUGUUGCUUCGAUUAAGCAACCCUCAUCAAUCGUUCCAAACUUCAAACCAUCCACAUACGACACAUCUUUAUUGAUCCUCUCCAAAGUACAAGACAAAGAAUGUUCAAUUAUAUGUUUAAAUUUAACGUCAUCAUUAAGAUUAUUGGCACUUGCUUUAACACGUUAAAUUUUCUUAUUCAUUUAGUUGCACAUGGAUGAGGUUAAUGUUUAUUACAAAGAAAGAAUUUGUGACUUGUUAUAUGGCACUAGAAGAACAAUGUCUAAUUGAGGGUAUGGCACUAGAAGAACAAUAACAAAUUAACAAUGUCAAAGUUUUAAUCUUGAAAAUGAGAGGAUUGUUAUUAACAAUGUCAAAGUUUUAAUCUUGAAAAUGAGAGGAUUGAGGAACUUUCUAUAAAGUCUUAUCGAGGGUAUGGGCCAUGGGAGAAGGGGAUGAGAGUGAAAUUUUCAUGGUGUUGUCUAUCUAAACAAUUUAGUCAAUUUUGAGAGAUUUGAGUUUAGCAAUGACUAUAAGGUUUUCUUGCCAACAGCCAAUAAUUAUUUUUGUCAAAUAUUUGUUUAACUAGCUAGAAAAAACAAAUGCUACCAGCUGGUGAAACAAGUCAACUGAACCGUUUAACAACCAAUUAGACGUUUACAUUGAGCAUAGGAUUGAUAAGACACACAUGAUUAAAUAGGUUUGAUACUUUUUUUUAUAGGAGAAUGACGGGAUGCACUGUGAUUCGAGGUUUUUUGAUGUGUAUAUGUUGGUGGGUUGGGAUGGGGUAGGAGCUGAUGGCAGUAUAAGGGAAGCAUUACAGUGAACUGGAUCUCUUUGGUAUGCCAAGGCAGCUGGAUGUAUACACAAAAGAUUGGUGUUUUUUGGUAAACAGUAGAUGCAUCUGCGUUCUGGAAUUAAUUGGGUACACACUGGACAGUUGACAGUGCUGAGUUAUUAUGCAGUUUAUUAAUGAGGCAGUUACGAUUUGUUUAAACAAUUUUUUCCCAUCAAAUCUCAGUUUAGAAAGCUUUAAUAAGCCGGAUCUUCUAGUUUGAUGUUGAUGUUAUUGUUUGGGUUGAAUUAGUUGGAAUAUGCAGAUUUGUAUAGCCACAUGUGUUCCAUGUUUUUCUAUCACUGUAGUUGUGUGUAUUCAGAAUUGUAUACUCCUUUCACAUGCUUUCUCAUUUUAGCUUGAUCAGGAUGCUGCUUUGUGCUAAAUUUGUUCAAAUUUGCUUUCACACAUGUUAAUUCUCUUAAUUUAUUUGAGUGCCUCUUGAAGGAUCUUCUUCUUUUCUACCAGCAAUUUUAACUUAUCUUUUUCAACCCAUUUUGAAACAGAUUAUUUGAUUACCUAUGUCAAGGGAACAUUAAUGACAAUAUUUGAACUAAUUAAACACUGAUUCUUGGGGGCUGCAUAGUGAAAAUACAGGCCACAUCACCUUUUAUCGAGUUUGAAACGUAUCGUAAAUGUUUUUGUGUUUAAUGCUUUCAAAUUGUAAGCUGAGACAAUAAAAAAAAUCAUCCGCGUUGAUCGCAAAAUCCAAUUCGCAACCGUAACCAAAACCGAAUUUUUCCACGAGGGUAAUUAAUUUUUUUGCGCCAACAAAGAUAAUAUACAUAAACUAUUCCUGUGUGGUAAAACCUUCUAGGAACCCCCAUCUCACCAAAUGACGAAAUAGAGAAAUUUUACCCUUGGCAACAAUGUUAUUCCAAACAGCAUGAUUAUGAAUCCUGAAACAGGAUUAUGUGUUUAUUCAUGGUUUUGGUCUAUCAUAGAAUCCUUCUCAUAUACUUCAUGUUAAUUUUUUUUUCCCUUGGUUGCAUUUCACUUCAAUAUUUAUUCUCAAUGUAGCAAAGAUUUUAACUUCUUUGGUUUGGUAUAAUGUUGUUCUAAAAUAUAAUUUUUUUACGUAAUAUACGUUUUUUUUUUAA
Amaranthus tricolor (Joseph's coat) is the source of this 4904-nucleotide RNA transcript. It is a transcript of the gene named arogenate dehydratase 2-like, with no coding region annotated. NCBI's taxonomy places the organism in Eukaryota, Viridiplantae, Streptophyta, Magnoliopsida, Caryophyllales, Amaranthaceae. The transcript is spliced from 12 exons. The record is from RefSeq and is a predicted model, not a curated record.